RNAcentral lists this ribosomal RNA (301 nucleotides) under uncultured bacterium. RNAcentral's name for it is "partial 16S ribosomal RNA". It matches the Rfam family "Bacterial small subunit ribosomal RNA", at positions 509 to 807 of the family's 1533-position model. The record is from RNAcentral.
CAGCAGCCGCGGUAAUACAGAGGGUGCGAGCGUUAAUCGGAUUUACUGGGCGUAAAGCGUGCGUAGGCGGCUUUUUAAGUCGGAUGUGAAAUCCCUGAGCUUAACUUAGGAAUUGCAUUCGAUACUGGGAAGCUAGAGUAUGGGAGAGGAUGGUAGAAUUCCAGGUGUAGCGGUGAAAUGCGUAGAGAUCUGGAGGAAUACCGAUGGCGAAGGCAGCCAUCUGGCCUAAUACUGACGCUGAGGUACGAAAGCAUGGGGAGCAAACAGGAUUAGAUACCCCUGUAGUCCAUGUCUCUUAUAC